RNAcentral lists this ribosomal RNA (555 nucleotides) under Frigoribacterium sp. ENE_2_3. RNAcentral's name for it is "bacterial SSU rRNA". It matches the Rfam family "Bacterial small subunit ribosomal RNA", at positions 664 to 1219 of the family's 1533-position model. The record is from RNAcentral. Lineage: Bacteria; Bacillati; Actinomycetota; Actinomycetes; Micrococcales; Microbacteriaceae.
GAAUUCCUGGUGUAGCGGUGGAAUGCGCAGAUAUCAGGAGGAACACCGAUGGCGAAGGCAGAUCUCUGGGCCGUAACUGACGCUGAGGAGCGAAAGCAUGGGGAGCGAACAGGAUUAGAUACCCUGGUAGUCCAUGCCGUAAACGUUGGGAACUAGAUGUGGGGGCCAUUCCACGGUCUCCGUGUCGCAGCUAACGCAUUAAGUUCCCCGCCUGGGGAGUACGGCCGCAAGGCUAAAACUCAAAGGAAUUGACGGGGGCCCGCACAAGCGGCGGAGCAUGCGGAUUAAUUCGAUGCAACGCGAAGAACCUUACCAAGGCUUGACAUAUACCGGAAACGUCCAGAGAUGGUCGCCCCGCAAGGUCGGUAUACAGGUGGUGCAUGGUUGUCGUCAGCUCGUGUCGUGAGAUGUUGGGUUAAGUCCCGCAACGAGCGCAACCCUCGUUCUAUGUUGCCAGCACGUUAUGGUGGGAACUCAUAGGAGACUGCCGGGGUCAACUCGGAGGAAGGUGGGGAUGACGUCAAAUCAUCAUGCCCCUUAUGUCUUGGGCUUCAC